UAGGUGAAAGCCAAAAUAGAGGCAUCUAGCUGUUAAUUAGGGAACUGUAAGGUAAAUUUACUCACUUAG
RNAcentral lists this transfer RNA (69 nucleotides) under Turricula nelliae spuria. RNAcentral describes it as "Turricula nelliae spurius tRNA-Asn". Lineage: Eukaryota; Metazoa; Mollusca; Gastropoda; Neogastropoda; Clavatulidae. The record is from RNAcentral.